AUGAACGCUAGCAGUAUGCCUUACACAUGCAAGUUAAACAAUAUUUGUAACGUAUCGGUGAGUAAUAUUUAAGAAUCUACAUUACAACUUAGUUUUAAAAAUAACUAAUAAUCAAAGAUUUAUCGUUGUAAGAUGAGCUUAAAAAAUAUUAUGGUUGUUGGUAGGGUAAUGGCCUACCAAGCCUAUGAUGUUUAGCUAUUUUGAGAGAAAGAAUAGCCACAUUGGGAUUGAAAGAACGCCCAAACUCCAUCUUGGAGGCAGCAGUGGGGAAUAUUGGACAAUGAGAGAAAUCUUGAUCCUACAAUACUGCGUGAGUGAUGAAGACUUUUAUAGUUGUAAAGCUCUUUCAUUAGGGAAGAUAAUGACGGUACCUAAAGAAGAAGUCCCGGCCAACUUCGU
Molecule: ribosomal RNA, 399 nt
Filed under: uncultured bacterium
Lineage: Bacteria
Description: partial 16S ribosomal RNA
Rfam family: Bacterial small subunit ribosomal RNA
Source: RNAcentral